Molecule: long non-coding RNA, 1244 nt
Filed under: Gallus gallus (chicken)
Lineage: Eukaryota; Metazoa; Chordata; Aves; Galliformes; Phasianidae
Description: long non-coding RNA NONGGAT004033
Source: RNAcentral
GGUUCCUGACCCACACUGCUGGUGGUAUCAGAAUGUCUUCCAGACUUCUUGCCAAUAAAAAAGAAUAGAAAACAAGACUAGCAUCUGUCCAAUGGGGCUCACUCUCCAUUUUUCUCUACACACCUUUCCUUUGUGGGGAGAAGAAGAGGAGAAUAGCAUGAAAAGUGCAAAAUGUUUCAAAUUCCUGUUCAAAAUCUUGAUAAUAUCAGGAAGGCUCGCAAAAGGGUGAAAGGCAUUCUUGUGGAACUUGGGCUUGACAGCUGCAGGGAAUUGUUGAAGAAUCUUAAAAGUUUUGACCCAGGUGAAAAAUACUUCUGCAACACUUCGUGGAGUGAUGUCUCUCCUUGGGAGUCUGUGGGCAAAAGGAAGAGAUACAGAACAAAGCCGUACUGCUGUAGUUUAUGCAAGUUCUCAUCAAAAUUACUUACUUCACUGAAGAGUCAUUUGCACCGUUACCAUGAAGAUGAAAUGGAUCAAGAGCUUAUAGUACCUUGCCCAAAAUGCGUGUUUGCUUCUGAGCCAAAAGUAGUGGGAAAACAUAUCCGAAUGUUUCAUUCAUCUAAUAAGAGAAUACAGAACUAUACAGUCAGCAUCUUGGAUGGCAUGAAACAAUUCAGAAGUGACAUCAUUAACUUUACAUGUCUAAAAUGUAACUUUACAGACACAUUGUAUUAUAACAUGAAGAAACAUGUGCUGAUGAACCAUUUUCAAAACUUAAUAAGUACGUAUUUUGGCCAGAGACCUGAUGAAAGUAAAGAGAAUUGUAUUGAGAACUACUGCAAAAAAUGUAAUGCUUCUGCAAACAGCCAAGAUUCUUUAAUGUAUCAUGUCUUGACAGCUGAAACACACAGAGACCUGGAGAACAAACUUCGGUCUGUAAUUUCAGAGCAUAUUAAGAAACCAGGACUUGUGAAACAAAUGCAGAUAGCUCCAAAGCUUCCCCAAAGUGUACCUGUAGCUGCUCUGUCUGUAGGUCCUCCUGUGGCCCCAGCAGGUUCCAUCACAGCUCCAGCUUGUAUCCAACUUGCGUUCCCACAGAAUAAUCAAAACCAGACUGUGGUGCAGCCGAAAGUUCAGAACACAGUCACAUCACUGACUGUUCCAAGUGCCUCUUGUAGUGUUCCACAUACAUCUUCUACUCCAGUUGUUACCCCAUCGCAUGUUACUCUUGUAUCCAGUCACCUUCCUGUAGGUCAGAAUAAUGUUAAUAUUCAGCCAUCUCCUUCUCAGCCUCUCAUUGUUUC